This 1226-nucleotide ribosomal RNA is filed under the name Escherichia coli. Its description in RNAcentral is "partial 23S ribosomal RNA". It matches the Rfam family "Bacterial large subunit ribosomal RNA", at positions 520 to 1746 of the family's 2925-position model. Lineage: Bacteria; Pseudomonadati; Pseudomonadota; Gammaproteobacteria; Enterobacterales; Enterobacteriaceae. The record is from RNAcentral.
AGAACCCCGGCGAGGGGAGUGAAAAAGAACCUGAAACCGUGUACGUACAAGCAGUGGGAGCACAGAGCAAUCUGUGUGACUGCGUACCUUUUGUAUAAUGGGUCAGCGACUUAUAUUCUGUAGCAAGGUUAACCGAAUAGGGGAGCCGAAGGGAAACCGAGUCUUAACUGGGCGUUAAGUUGCAGGGUAUAGACCCGAAACCCGGUGAUCUAGCCAUGGGCAGGUUGAAGGUUGGGUAACACUAACUGGAGGACCGAACCGACUAAUGUUGAAAAAUUAGCGGAUGACUUGUGGCUGGGGGUGAAAGGCCAAUCAAACCGGGAGAUAGCUGGUUCUCCCCGAAAGCUAUUUAGGUAGCGCCUCGUGAAUUCAUCUCCGGGGGUAGAGCACUGUUUCGGCAAGGGGGUCAUCCCGACUUACCAACCCGAUGCAAACUGCGAAUACCGGAGAAUGUUAUCACGGGAGACACACGGCGGGUGCUAACGUCCGUCGUGAAGAGGGAAACAACCCAGACCGCCAGCUAAGGUCCCAAAGUCAUGGUUAAGUGGGAAACGAUGUGGGAAGGCCCAGACAGCCAGGAUGUUGGCUUAGAAGCAGCCAUCAUUUAAAGAAAGCGUAAUAGCUCACUGGUCGAGUCGGCCUGCGCGGAAGAUGUAACGGGGCUAAACCAUGCACCGAAGCUGCGGCAGCGACGCUGAUGCGUUGUUGGGUAGGGGAGCGUUCUGUAAGCCUGCGAAGGUGUGCUGUGAGGCAUGCUGGAGGUAUCAGAAGUGCGAAUGCUGACAUAAGUAACGAUAAAGCGGGUGAAAAGCCCGCUCGCCGGAAGACCAAGGGUUCCUGUCCAACGUUAAUCGGGGCAGGGUGAGUCGACCCCUAAGGCGAGGCCGAAAGGCGUAGUCGAUGGGAAACAGGUUAAUAUUCCUGUACUUGGUGUUACUGCGAAGGGGGGACGGAGAAGGCUAUGUUGGCCGGGCGACGGUUGUCCCGGUUUAAGCGUGUAGGCUGGUUUUCCAGGCAAAUCCGGAAAAUCAAGGCUGAGGCGUGAUGACGAGGCACUACGGUGCUGAAGCAACAAAUGCCCUGCUUCCAGGAAAAGCCUCUAAGCAUCAGGUAACAUCAAAUCGUACCCCAAACCGACACAGGUGGUCAGGUAGAGAAUACCAAGGCGCUUGAGAGAACUCGGGUGAAGGAACUAGGCAAAAUGGUGCCGUAACUUCGGGAGAAGG